RNAcentral lists this ribosomal RNA (229 nucleotides) under uncultured bacterium. Its description in RNAcentral is "partial 16S ribosomal RNA". It matches the Rfam family "Bacterial small subunit ribosomal RNA", at positions 118 to 347 of the family's 1533-position model. The record is from RNAcentral.
UGAGCAAUCUGCCCUUCUCAUCGGAAAAAGCGUUGGAAACGACGUCUAAUGCCGAAUACGACCUCCUUCCACAUGAUCGGAGGUGGAAAGCUCCGGCGGAGAAGGAUGAGCUCGCGGCCUAUCAGCUAGUUGGCGAGGUAACGGCUCACCAAGGCAACGACGGGUAGCUGGUCUGAGAGGAUGGCCAGCCACAUUGGGACUGAGAUACGGUCCAGACCUCUACGGGAGG